RNAcentral lists this ribosomal RNA (450 nucleotides) under uncultured bacterium. RNAcentral describes it as "bacterial SSU rRNA". It matches the Rfam family "Bacterial small subunit ribosomal RNA", at positions 330 to 793 of the family's 1533-position model. The record is from RNAcentral.
CCCAGACUCCUACGGGAGGCAGCAGUGGGGAAUAUUGCACAAUGGGGGGAAACCCUGAUGCAGCAACGCCGCGUGAGUGAGGAAGUAUUUCGGUAUGUAAAGCUCUAUCAGCAGGGAAUAGAAAAGAAGGUACCUGAAAAAGAAGCCCCGGCUAACUACGUGCCAGCAGCCGCGGUAAUACGUAGGGGGCAAGCGUUAUCCGGAUUUACUGGGUGUAAAGGGAGCGUAGACGGCAUGGCAAGUCAGAUGUGAAAGCCCGGGGCUCAACCCCGGGACUGCAUUUGAAACUGUCAGGCUGGAGUGCAGGAGAGGUAAGUGGAAUUCCUAGUGUAGCGGUGAAAUGCGUAGAUAUUAGGAGGAACACCAGUGGCGAAGGCGGCUUACUGGACUGUAACUGACGUUGAGGCUCGAAAGCGUGGGGAGCAAACAGGAUUAGAUACCCCUGUAUCG